GAUCCUUUGUUGAAAGUCAAAAACAGGCCAUUUCAAAAGUCACAACACAGCCGGAAAGCCACAAGCUGUUUCAACAUCAGAAUGUGUGUGUGUGUGUGUGUG
Alosa sapidissima (American shad) is the source of this 102-nucleotide long non-coding RNA. RefSeq lists it as uncharacterized. The transcript is spliced from 3 exons. NCBI's taxonomy places the organism in Eukaryota, Metazoa, Chordata, Actinopteri, Clupeiformes, Clupeidae. The record is from RefSeq and is a predicted model, not a curated record.